Molecule: long non-coding RNA, 657 nt
Organism: Prionailurus viverrinus (fishing cat)
Lineage: Eukaryota; Metazoa; Chordata; Mammalia; Carnivora; Felidae
Exons: 3
Source: RefSeq, a predicted model, not a curated record
AGCUUUCUGACAAGUGUCUGUACCUUAGGAAAACAUUUCUUACUCAGUUUCUGUUGGAUUUUAAUGAAUAACACAUGCAGCAGAGAUGUGUUCGGAUGAAACUGAGAAGAAAAAUAUUGACUUCUUUCCAUCGAGGUAUUAAUACUGAAAGCCACAAGAUGAAAAAAGCACUCUUGGAACCCAAGAAAACUUUCUGGACCCCAUACAAUGAAGCAAUCACGGUGGAAUUAAAAGGCAUAUGGCUCAUGUUUGGUGAUAAAGGACUUUCUGUCACUCUCAGUGGAGAAGCCAACGUCAGGCCCUGUGGCCAGGCUUGUAGAUGAACCAUGUGUUAAAGGAGAAGCAGUUAUUCCAAGGAGAAGCUAGCUGGGAAAAGAUGGUACGAUAACCACAUGUUCCCCAGUGUUCCUGAAUUCCGGUCAGUAAGGCAAUUAUCUGCAUCACGUAGCUUUUCCUGCUGUAAUACAUCCAUACGUGGGAAAAGAACAAACAUGGGAGAGAUCCUCUGUCCAUACUCCAGGUCACAGGCAUAAGCAGAGAAUUAAUCAUCCAGAAGAAAUCAUUUCAGGAUCCAAAGUAUCCACCAAUCCUUACACUUUUCCAUCACUGGUGAUUUCUGGCAGGACAAAUACAAAUUUGGUUCUCCAAAUAUUAGAU